This 2902-nucleotide ribosomal RNA is filed under the name Klebsiella quasipneumoniae. Its description in RNAcentral is "23S ribosomal RNA". It matches the Rfam family "Bacterial large subunit ribosomal RNA". Lineage: Bacteria; Pseudomonadati; Pseudomonadota; Gammaproteobacteria; Enterobacterales; Enterobacteriaceae. The record is from RNAcentral.
GGUUAAGCGACUAAGCGUACACGGUGGAUGCCCUGGCAGUCAGAGGCGAUGAAGGACGUGCUAAUCUGCGAAAAGCGUCGGUAAGGUGAUAUGAACCGUUAUAGCCGGCGAUGUCCGAAUGGGGAAACCCAGUGCAAUUCGUUGCACUAUCGUUAACUGAAUACAUAGGUUAACGAGGCGAACCGGGGGAACUGAAACAUCUAAGUACCCCGAGGAAAAGAAAUCAACCGAGAUUCCCCCAGUAGCGGCGAGCGAACGGGGAGCAGCCCAGAGUCUGAAUCAGCUUGUGUGUUAGUGGAACGGUCUGGAAAGUCCGACGGUACAGGGUGAUAGUCCCGUACACCAAAAUGCACAGGCUGUGAACUCGAAGAGUAGGGCGGGACACGUGGUAUCCUGUCUGAAUAUGGGGGGACCAUCCUCCAAGGCUAAAUACUCCUGACUGACCGAUAGUGAACCAGUACCGUGAGGGAAAGGCGAAAAGAACCCCGGCGAGGGGAGUGAAAAAGAACCUGAAACCGUGUACGUACAAGCAGUGGGAGCACCUUCGGGUGUGACUGCGUACCUUUUGUAUAAUGGGUCAGCGACUUAUAUUCUGUAGCAAGGUUAACCGUAUAGGGGAGCCGCAGGGAAACCGAGUCUUAACUGGGCGUUAAGUUGCAGGGUAUAGACCCGAAACCCGGUGAUCUAGCCAUGGGCAGGUUGAAGGUUGGGUAACACUAACUGGAGGACCGAACCGACUAAUGUUGAAAAAUUAGCGGAUGACUUGUGGCUGGGGGUGAAAGGCCAAUCAAACCGGGAGAUAGCUGGUUCUCCCCGAAAGCUAUUUAGGUAGCGCCUCGUGAACUCAUCUUCGGGGGUAGAGCACUGUUUCGGCUAGGGGGUCAUCCCGACUUACCAACCCGAUGCAAACUACGAAUACCGAAGAAUGUUAUCACGGGAGACACACGGCGGGUGCUAACGUCCGUCGUGAAGAGGGAAACAACCCAGACCGCCAGCUAAGGUCCCAAAGUCAUGGUUAAGUGGGAAACGAUGUGGGAAGGCACAGACAGCCAGGAUGUUGGCUUAGAAGCAGCCAUCAUUUAAAGAAAGCGUAAUAGCUCACUGGUCGAGUCGGCCUGCGCGGAAGAUGUAACGGGGCUAAACCAUGCACCGAAGCUGCGGCAGCGACACUAUGUGUUGUUGGGUAGGGGAGCGUUCUGUAAGCCUGCGAAGGUGGCCUGUGAGGGUUGCUGGAGGUAUCAGAAGUGCGAAUGCUGACAUAAGUAACGAUAAAGCGGGUGAAAAGCCCGCUCGCCGGAAGACCAAGGGUUCCUGUCCAACGUUAAUCGGGGCAGGGUGAGUCGACCCCUAAGGCGAGGCCGAAAGGCGUAGUCGAUGGGAAACAGGUUAAUAUUCCUGUACUUGGUGUUACUGCGAAGGGGGGACGGAGAAGGCUAUGUUAGCCGGGCGACGGUUGUCCCGGUUUAAGCAUGUAGGCUGGUUAUCCAGGCAAAUCCGGAUAAUCAAGGCUGAGGUGUGAUGACGAGGCACUACGGUGCUGAAGUAACAAAUGCCCUGCUUCCAGGAAAAGCCUCUAAGCAUCAGGUAACAUCAAAUCGUACCCCAAACCGACACAGGUGGUCAGGUAGAGAAUACCAAGGCGCUUGAGAGAACUCGGGUGAAGGAACUAGGCAAAAUGGUGCCGUAACUUCGGGAGAAGGCACGCUGGUGUGUAGGUGAAGUCCCUGCGGAUGGAGCUGAGACCAGUCGAAGAUACCAGCUGGCUGCAACUGUUUAUUAAAAACACAGCACUGUGCAAACACGAAAGUGGACGUAUACGGUGUGACGCCUGCCCGGUGCCGGAAGGUUAAUUGAUGGGGUUAUCCGUAAGGAGAAGCUCUUGAUCGAAGCCCCGGUAAACGGCGGCCGUAACUAUAACGGUCCUAAGGUAGCGAAAUUCCUUGUCGGGUAAGUUCCGACCUGCACGAAUGGCGUAAUGAUGGCCAGGCUGUCUCCACCCGAGACUCAGUGAAAUUGAACUCGCUGUGAAGAUGCAGUGUACCCGCGGCAAGACGGAAAGACCCCGUGAACCUUUACUAUAGCUUGACACUGAACAUUGAGCCUUGAUGUGUAGGAUAGGUGGGAGGCUUUGAAGCGUGGACGCCAGUCUGCGUGGAGCCAACCUUGAAAUACCACCCUUUAAUGUUUGAUGUUCUAACGUUGGCCCCUUAUCGGGGUUGCGGACAGUGUCUGGUGGGUAGUUUGACUGGGGCGGUCUCCUCCCAAAGCGUAACGGAGGAGCACGAAGGUUAGCUAAUCCUGGUCGGACAUCAGGAGGUUAGUGCAAUGGCAUAAGCUAGCUUGACUGCGAGCGUGACGGCGCGAGCAGGUGCGAAAGCAGGUCAUAGUGAUCCGGUGGUUCUGAAUGGAAGGGCCAUCGCUCAACGGAUAAAAGGUACUCCGGGGAUAACAGGCUGAUACCGCCCAAGAGUUCAUAUCGACGGCGGUGUUUGGCACCUCGAUGUCGGCUCAUCACAUCCUGGGGCUGAAGUAGGUCCCAAGGGUAUGGCUGUUCGCCAUUUAAAGUGGUACGCGAGCUGGGUUUAGAACGUCGUGAGACAGUUCGGUCCCUAUCUGCCGUGGGCGCUGGAGAAUUGAGGGGGGCUGCUCCUAGUACGAGAGGACCGGAGUGGACGCAUCACUGGUGUUCGGGUUGUCAUGCCAAUGGCACUGCCCGGUAGCUAAAUGCGGAAGAGAUAAGUGCUGAAAGCAUCUAAGCACGAAACUUGCCCCGAGAUGAGUUCUCCCUGAGACUUUAAGUCUCCUGAAGGAACGUUAAAGACGAUGACGUUGAUAGGCCGGGUGUGUAAGCGCAGCGAUGCGUUGAGCUAACCGGUACUAAUGAACCGUGAGGCUUAACCUU